UGGGGAAUAUUGGACAAUGGGCGAAAGCCUGAUCCAGCAAUGCCGCGUGUGUGAAGAAGGCCUGCGGGUUGUAAAGCACUUUCGGUUGGGAAGAAAGAUUUUCAGCGAAUACCUGAAAAUUGUGACACUACCUUCAGAAGAAGCACCGGCUAACUCCGUGCCAGCAGCCGCGGUAAUACGGAGGGUGCGAGCGUUAAUCGGAAUUACUGGGCGUAAAGCGCGCGUAGGCGGCUAAGUAAGUCGGAUGUGAAAUCCCUGGGCUUAACCUAGGAACUGCAUUCGAUACUGCGGAGCUAGAGUAUGGUAGAGGAAAGCGGAAUUCCCGGUGUAGCGGUGAAAUGCGUAGAUAUCGGGAGGAACAUCAGUGGCGAAGGCGGCUUUCUGGACCAAUACUGACGCUGAGGCGCGAAAGCGUGGGUAGCAAACAGG
Molecule: ribosomal RNA, 429 nt
Filed under: uncultured bacterium
Lineage: Bacteria
Description: bacterial SSU rRNA
Rfam family: Bacterial small subunit ribosomal RNA
Source: RNAcentral